This 645-nucleotide ribosomal RNA is filed under the name Frankia sp. RG-2005.2. Its description in RNAcentral is "bacterial SSU rRNA". It matches the Rfam family "Bacterial small subunit ribosomal RNA", at positions 35 to 698 of the family's 1533-position model. Lineage: Bacteria; Bacillati; Actinomycetota; Actinomycetes; Frankiales; Frankiaceae. The record is from RNAcentral.
GCUGGCGGCGUGCUUAACACAUGCAAGUCGAACGAUGAACCCUUCGGUGGGGAUUAGUGGCGAACGGGUGAGUAACACGUGGGCAAUCUGCCCUUCACUCUGGGACAAGCCCUGGAAACGGGGUCUAAUACCGGAUACCACUACCGCAGGCAUCUGUGGUGGUUGAAAGCUCCGGCGGUGAAGGAUGAGCCCGCGGCCUAUCAGCUUGUUGGUGAGGUAAUGGCUCACCAAGGCGACGACGGGUAGCCGGCCUGAGAGGGCGACCGGCCACACUGGGACUGAGACACGGCCCAGACUCCUACGGGAGGCAGCAGUGGGGAAUAUUGCACAAUGGGCGAAAGCCUGAUGCAGCGACGCCGCGUGAGGGAUGACGGCCUUCGGGUUGUAAACCUCUUUCAGCAGGGAAGAAGCGAAAGUGACGGUACCUGCAGAAGAAGCGCCGGCUAACUACGUGCCAGCAGCCGCGGUAAUACGUAGGGCGCAAGCGUUGUCCGGAAUUAUUGGGCGUAAAGAGCUCGUAGGCGGCUUGUCACGUCGGGUGUGAAAGCCCGGGGCUUAACCCCGGGUCUGCAUUCGAUACGGGCUAGCUAGAGUGUGGUAGGGGAGAUCGGAAUUCCUGGUGUAGCGGUGAAAUGCGCAGAUAUC